RNAcentral lists this long non-coding RNA (262 nucleotides) under Mytilus galloprovincialis (Mediterranean mussel). The record is from RNAcentral. Lineage: Eukaryota; Metazoa; Mollusca; Bivalvia; Mytilida; Mytilidae.
GUUUUGUUUCUUCUGUAGAUUGUUGUUUUGUUUAUGUUGGUUUUUUUUUGUACAUUUUGGGGGAGGGGAUCUUUUAUUAAAACAAAAAAUUAAUCAAUGAACCAGACUAUAAAUUAUACGAAUCCCAAUGUGAAAACAAAUAUUUAAGCAAUUCAAAUAAAAAGAUAUGACUUGAAAACUUGAAAAAGAUAGAACGACGAACGAAAAGAUAUGGAUGAAGGGAACCGCUUCAAUUGUUAACCACAGAGACGAUAUCUUUCGG